GAUGAACGCUGGCGGCGUGCUUAACACAUGCAAGUCGAACGAUGAAGCCCAGCUUGUUGGGUGGAUUAGUGGCGAACGGGUGAGUAGCACGUGAGUAACCUGCCCUUAACUCUGGGAUAAGCCUGGGCAACUGGGUCUAAUACCGGAUAGGAGCGUCCACCGCAUGGUGGGUGUUGGAAAGAUUUAUCGGUUUUGGAUGGACUCGCGGCCUAUCAGCUUGUUGGUGAGGUAAUGGCUCACCAAGGCGACGACGGGUAGCCGGCCUGAGAGGGUGACCGGCCACACUGGGACUGAGACACGGCCCAGACUCCUACGGGAGGCAGCAGUGGGGAAUAUUGCACAAUGGGCGCAAGCCUGAUGCAGCGACGCCGCGUGAGGGAUGACGGCCUUCGGGUUGUAAACCUCUUUCAGUAGGGAAGAAGCGAAAGUGACGGUACCUGCAGAAGAAGCACCGGCUAACUACGUG
Molecule: ribosomal RNA, 466 nt
Filed under: uncultured bacterium
Lineage: Bacteria
Description: partial 16S ribosomal RNA
Rfam family: Bacterial small subunit ribosomal RNA
Source: RNAcentral